RNAcentral lists this ribosomal RNA (433 nucleotides) under uncultured bacterium. RNAcentral describes it as "partial 16S ribosomal RNA". It matches the Rfam family "Bacterial small subunit ribosomal RNA", at positions 29 to 507 of the family's 1533-position model. The record is from RNAcentral.
AACGAACGCUGGCGGCAUGCCUAACACAUGCAAGUCGAACGAGACCUUCGGGUCUAGUGGCGCACGGGUGCGUAACGCGUGGGAACCUGCCCUUAGGUUCUGAAUAACUCCCCGAAAGGGGUGCUAAUACCGGAUAAUGUCUUCGGACCAAAGAUUUAUCGCCUUUGGAUGGGCCCGCGUUGGAUUAGCUAGUUGGUAGGGUAAAAGCCUACCAAGGCGACGAUCCAUAGCUGGUCUGAGAGGAUGAUCAGCCACACUGGGACUGAGACACGGCCCAGACUCCUACGGGAAGCAGCAGUGGGGAAUAUUGGACAAUGGGCGAAAGCCUGAUCCAGCAAUGCCGCGUGAGUGAUGAAGGCCUUAGGGUUGUAAAGCUCUUUUACCCGGGAUGAUAAUGACAGUACCGGGAGAAUAAGCUCCGGCUAACUCCGUG